CAGUAGCCGCGGGAAAACGUAGGUGGCAAGCGUUAUCCGGAAUUAUUGGGCGUAAAGCGCGCGUAGGCGGUUUUUUAAGUCUGAUGUGAAAGCCCACGGCUCAACCGUGGAGGGUCAUUGGAAACUGGGAAACUUGAGUGCAGAAGAGGAGAGUGGAAUUCCACGUGUAGCGGUGAAAUGCGUAGAGAUGUGGAGGAACACCAGUGGCGAAGGCGACUCUCUGGUCUGUAACUGACGCUGAGGAGCGAAAGCGUGGGGAGCGAACAGGAUUAGAUACCCGAGUAGUCCCUGUCUCUUAUAA
RNAcentral lists this ribosomal RNA (301 nucleotides) under uncultured bacterium. RNAcentral describes it as "partial 16S ribosomal RNA". It matches the Rfam family "Bacterial small subunit ribosomal RNA", at positions 509 to 809 of the family's 1533-position model. The record is from RNAcentral.